RNAcentral lists this ribosomal RNA (253 nucleotides) under uncultured bacterium. Its description in RNAcentral is "partial 16S ribosomal RNA". It matches the Rfam family "Bacterial small subunit ribosomal RNA", at positions 524 to 776 of the family's 1533-position model. The record is from RNAcentral.
GACGUAGGGUGCGAGCGUUGUCCGGAUUUAUUGGGCGUAAAGAGCUCGUAGGCGGCUCGUCGCGUCGACCGUGAAAACCAGCAGCUUAACUGCUGGCUUGCGGUUGAUACGGGCGGGCUAGAGUUCGGUAGGGGAGACUGGAAUUCCUGGUGUAGCGGUGAAAUGCGCAGAUAUCAGGAGGAACACCGGUGGCGAAGGCGGGUCUCUGGGCCGAUACUGACGCUGAGGAGCGAAAGCGUGGGGAGCGAACAGG